GUAGGUGAACCUGCGGAAGGAUCAUUAUCACGUAUCCACGUAUAAACCAAUUCGUGAACUGUCAACACUCAACCUCUGAGCUAUCGGUCGCUAUCAUGAAACUAUGGACGCAUUGUAUGAUUAGGCGUUCUCAUGAUAAUCAAGACUGUCUCUUCGGAGUGUAUUAAUCAUACUUUUAACAUUAACCACUUGAACCUUUUAUAAAUUUCUUUGUUUGAACUGAUUUGUUUCUUACUCGGCCGUCAAACGC
RNAcentral lists this unclassified non-coding RNA (250 nucleotides) under plant metagenome. RNAcentral describes it as "partial contains small subunit ribosomal RNA, internal transcribed spacer 1, and 5.8S ribosomal RNA". The record is from RNAcentral.